Non-coding RNA from Caenorhabditis elegans, 92 nucleotides. Lineage: Eukaryota; Metazoa; Nematoda; Chromadorea; Rhabditida; Rhabditidae. The record is from Ensembl.
UUUUUUGAUGUUCAAUGAUUCUAUUUGCUCGUUCGUCUAGCUCAUCUUUAUAAAGAUAAUUAGAGGGUUCAUCGUAGCGAUUUGUGCAAAUA